GGGAAGGGGACAGGUGUUGGGCGCUGGAGACUGGGACAGGGGAGUCGGACAGAGAAAUUGGUCCAGGGGAUCCUCUCCCCAGAUUUGCCAACUACUCUAGCCUCAAACUGUUAGAUGAAGGAAAAACAACACAACACAGACUUCGCUUUGGCCACAUUUUUUCACAGUUGGUGUAGAUACGACAAAGAGGGAUGGUGUAACGGUGGCGGCAUGGUCAACGGCAGCAUUGUAAGCAAAGUCAUACAGCAGCGAAGUCGACGUAUGGUGGCGUUGUAGAUCUCAAAUCCGAGAGAGAUAUUUGACAAUGAUGUGAUGGUAUGACGGCGUUGUAAGCAAAAGCAUACGGUGAUGAGGUUGAAAAUCUCAGAUCUGAGAGAAAGAGAGAUUUGACAGUUAUGGUGGCAGUGGUAUUGCGGUGGCACCAUGGCGACAACAGCGAUGGUGGUGUGGUUGUAAUCUAAAAAGAGUGUAGAGAGAAUGUAGAGAGAAAGUGGCUCAGAUAUGUUUUGACUUUUCUUUCUUUCUUUUUUGGUAUUUUAUAGUUUAGGAUAUGAAGG
Molecule: long non-coding RNA, 557 nt
Filed under: Actinidia chinensis (golden kiwifruit)
Lineage: Eukaryota; Viridiplantae; Streptophyta; Magnoliopsida; Ericales; Actinidiaceae
Description: long non-coding RNA (ACHI_LNC002567)
Source: RNAcentral